AAUGAACGCUGGCGGCAUGCCUAAUCCAUGCAAGUCGAACGAGUGGCGGAGGGGUGUGUAAUGUCGGGGAAACUGCUUGAAGGAGGGGGAUAACUACGGGAAACGGUAGAUAAUACCGCAUAACAGCCGAUCUGACCAGAUGGGAUUAGGUAGUAGGUGGGGUAACUGCUCACCUAGGCGACGAUCCCUAGCAGAUCUGAGAGGAUGACCAGCCACACUGGAACUGAGACACGGUCCAGACUCCUACGGGAGGCAGCAGUAGGGAAUAUUGCGCAAUGGGCGCAAGCCUGAUAGAGCCAUGCCGCGUGUAUGAAGAAGGCCGUCGGGUUGUAAAGUACUGUCAGUAGGGAAGCGGUACCCACACAGAAAGCCCCGGCUAACUCCGCGCCAGCAGCCGCGGUAAUAC
Molecule: ribosomal RNA, 406 nt
Filed under: uncultured bacterium
Lineage: Bacteria
Description: partial 16S ribosomal RNA
Rfam family: Bacterial small subunit ribosomal RNA
Source: RNAcentral